GAGCUCGUGUGUCCUACGGGGCUGGAUUCUGGUAGCUCCAGGAGAUCAUUGUGGCUGCCAGGGCCAGCCAAUGGUGUGUCCUCCUGGGGGGUGGCUGGAAUCCCAGUUGCAGGACACAGAAAGUAUUAUGAGGGAGGCCAAGGACUCCGGGCUCCAGGCAGAGAAGCGGCGCUGGGACUAGGGAUUGCCACUUCUGAGAGGAUGCUGGGAAUCUGCAGGGGGAGACGGAAAUUCCUGGCUGCCUCGUUGACCCUGCUCUGCAUCCCAGCCAUCACCUGGCUUUACCUGUUUGCCGGGAGCUUGGAAGGAAUGCUGGCUGUCUCAGAAUCCUAGGAAGAACCUCCGGGUCUUCUAAUCCUGACUUCUCAUUUUGUAGAAAAAUGGAAUCCUGUUGCUCAGUCACAGGAAAAGAUUUGUCUAGGUUUAUAAAGGUAUUUGGAGGGAGUGUGUAAUGAGGAGAGAAAAAGAAAUAACAGGAGCGCCUGUGGCUCAGCGGGUUAAGAACCUGAGUAGUAUCCGUGAGAAUGCAGGUUCCAUCCCUGGCCCUGCUCAGUGAGUUAAGAAUCCAGUGUUGCAGUGGGCUGUGGUGUAGGUCGCAGACUCGGCUCGGAUCCCAGGUUGCUGUGGCUGUGGUGAAGUCCAGCAGCUGCAGCUCCAGUUUGAUCCCUAGCCUGGGAACUUCCAUAUGUCUCAGGUGCAGCCCUAAAAAGAAAAAAAAGAAAAGAGAAAAGAUAAAUACAAAAGCAAAAAGGAAACUUUGCAGGCUGAUGGCCCUGUCUGAAGUAUUUGAUGCAUAUUUCCUGAGGUUUUUUUUUUCCCCCUACAAACGUGAACCCCUGUCCCGCCCCCACCAAGGAAGAUGUUUACUACUAGGUAGCCAUUCACACACAACCCUGAGUCCUCCUGAAACCUGAGGAUGGCUAAUGUUAACCCCGUGACCCCACCCUGUUACCUCACCAUCACCCAGAGAAUUGGGUACCAUCUGAUCACAUACCCUGGGACCCCUGCUCCUUAUCUGGCUUUUAAAUAUGUUUUGCCGGGAGUUCACAGUGUGGCUCAGCAGUAAGAAAUCCAGCUAAUAUCCAUUGGGUUCAAUCCCUGGCUUCGCUCAGUGGGUGAAGCAUCUGGUGUUGCCAUGAGCUGUGGUGUAGGCCGGCAGCUGCAGCUCCAAUUUGACCCCUAGCCUGGGAACAUCCAUAUGCUGCGUGUGUGGCCCUAAAAAUCAAAGUUCUUGCUGUGGCACCGUGGGUUAAAAAUCUGGCAUUGCUGCAACUGCGGCAUAGGGCAUAGGUCACAGCUGUGGUGCAGAUUCAGUCCUGGCUUGGGAACGUCCAUAUGCCAAGGCCAAAAAUAAAAAAUAAAAAGGUUUUGCUGAAAACUCUUCAAGGAGUUUGGGGUUUGGGAGGGCACUCGUCCCCCUGCCUGGCCCUGCAAUAAACCUCUCUCUGCUCCAAACCACAGUGUUUCAGAGUUCCCAUUGUGGCACAGAGGAAACAAAUCCGACCAGGAACCAUGAGGUUGCAGGUUCGAUCCCUGGCCUCGCUCAGUGAGUUGAGGAUCCAUCAUUGCUGCAUCAGCUGUGGUGCAGGUGGCAGAUGCAGCUCAGAUCUGGUGUUGCUGUGGCUGUGGUGUAGGCCGGCAGCUGUAGCUCCGAUUAGACCCCUAGCCUGGGAACCUCCAUAUGC
Molecule: long non-coding RNA, 1685 nt
Filed under: Sus scrofa (pig)
Lineage: Eukaryota; Metazoa; Chordata; Mammalia; Artiodactyla; Suidae
Description: lncRNA (ENSSSCG00045026973.1)
Source: RNAcentral